GAUGAACGCUGGCGGCGUGCCUAAUACAUGCAAGUCGAGCGAACAGACGAGGAGCUUGCUCCUCUGACGUUAGCGGCGGACGGGUGAGUAACACGUGGAUAACCUACCUAUAAGACUGGGAUAACUUCGGGAAACCGGAGCUAAUACCGGAUAAUAUAUUGAACCGCAUGGUUCAAUAGUUAAAGACGGUUUUGCUGUCACUUAUAGAUGGAUCCGCGCCGAAUUAGCUAGUUGGUAAGGUAACGGCUUACCAAGGCAACGAUGCGUAGCCGACCUGAGAGGGUGAUCGGCCACACUGGAACUGAGACACGGUCCAGACUCCUACGGGAGGCAGCAGUAGGGAAUCUUCCGCAAUGGGCGAAAGCCUGACGGAGCAACGCCGCGUGAGUGAUGAAGGUCUUCGGAUCGUAAAACUCUGUUAUUAGGGAAGAACAAAUGUGUAAGUAACUAUGCACGUCUUGACGGUACCUAAUCAGAAAGCCACGGCUAACUACGUG
This 497-nucleotide ribosomal RNA is filed under the name uncultured bacterium. RNAcentral's name for it is "partial 16S ribosomal RNA". It matches the Rfam family "Bacterial small subunit ribosomal RNA", at positions 28 to 507 of the family's 1533-position model. The record is from RNAcentral.